This 261-nucleotide ribosomal RNA is filed under the name uncultured archaeon. RNAcentral describes it as "partial 16S ribosomal RNA". It matches the Rfam family "Archaeal small subunit ribosomal RNA", at positions 748 to 1009 of the family's 1478-position model. The record is from RNAcentral.
CAGCCCUAAACGAUGCGCGUUAGGUGUAUCGGUGACCACGAGUCACCGAGGUGCCGAAGGGAAACCGUGAAACGUGCCGCCUGGGAAGUACGGUCGCAAGGCUGAGACUUAAAGGAAUUGGCGGGGGAGCACCACAACGGGUGGAGCCUGCGGUUUAAUUGGAUUCAACGCCGGAAAUCUUACCGGGACCGACAGCAACAUGAAGGCCAAGCUGAAGACUUUGCCGGAUUAGCUGAGAGGAGGUGCAUGGCGUAGUCGUGU